UGCAAAGAAAUGUGCCAUCUCCUUACCUC
This 29-nucleotide non-coding RNA is filed under the name Mus musculus (house mouse). The record is from RNAcentral. Lineage: Eukaryota; Metazoa; Chordata; Mammalia; Rodentia; Muridae.